RNAcentral lists this ribosomal RNA (404 nucleotides) under uncultured bacterium. RNAcentral describes it as "bacterial SSU rRNA". It matches the Rfam family "Bacterial small subunit ribosomal RNA", at positions 355 to 776 of the family's 1533-position model. The record is from RNAcentral.
UGGGGAAUAUUGGGCAAUGGAGGCAACUCUGACCCAGCAACGCCGCGUGAAGGAUGAAGUAUUUCGGUAUGUAAACUUCGAAAGAAUAGGAAGAAUAAAUGACGGUACUAUUUAUAAGGUCCGGCUAACUACGUGCCAGCAGCCGCGGUAAUACGUAGGGACCAAGCGUUGUUCGGAUUUACUGGGCGUAAAGGGCGCGUAGGCGGCAUGACAAGUCACUUGUGAAAUCUCUGGGCUUAACCCAGAACGGCCAAGUGAUACUGUCGCGCUAGAGUGCAGAAGGGGCAAUCGGAAUUCUUGGUGUAGCGGUGAAAUGCGUAGAUAUCUGGAGGAACACCGGUGGCGAAGGCGACAUCCUGGACCAAUUCUGACGCUGAGGAGCGAAAGCCAGGGGAGCAAACGGG